GAAGCAGUAAUUUAAUGGAAAAAUAGCUCUAACCCAGAGAAAUUGCGGGUUCAAAUCCUGCCUGUUUCC
RNAcentral lists this transfer RNA (69 nucleotides) under Chryseobacterium sp. SN22. RNAcentral describes it as "tRNA-Val". It matches the Rfam family "tRNA". Rfam says of the family: Transfer RNA (tRNA) molecules are approximately 80 nucleotides in length. Lineage: Bacteria; Pseudomonadati; Bacteroidota; Flavobacteriia; Flavobacteriales; Weeksellaceae. The record is from RNAcentral.